This 1309-nucleotide ribosomal RNA is filed under the name Staphylococcus aureus. RNAcentral describes it as "partial 23S ribosomal RNA". It matches the Rfam family "Bacterial large subunit ribosomal RNA", at positions 1612 to 2925 of the family's 2925-position model. Lineage: Bacteria; Bacillati; Bacillota; Bacilli; Caryophanales; Staphylococcaceae. The record is from RNAcentral.
GAAAAGCCUCUAGAUAGAAAAUAGGUGCCCGUACCGCAAACCGACACAGGUAGUCAAGAUGAGAAUUCUAAGGUGAGCGAGCGAACUCUCGUUAAGGAACUCGGCAAAAUGACCCCGUAACUUCGGGAGAAGGGGUGCUCUUUAGGGUUAACGCCCAGAAGAGCCGCAGUGAAUAGGCCCAAGCGACUGUUUAUCAAAAACACAGGUCUCUGCUAAACCGUAAGGUGAUGUAUAGGGGCUGACGCCUGCCCGGUGCUGGAAGGUUAAGAGGAGUGGUUAGCUUCUGCGAAGCUACGAAUCGAAGCCCCAGUAAACGGCGGCCGUAACUAUAACGGUCCUAAGGUAGCGAAAUUCCUUGUCGGGUAAGUUCCGACCCGCACGAAAGGCGUAACGAUUUGGGCACUGUCUCAACGAGAGACUCGGUGAAAUCAUAGUACCUGUGAAGAUGCAGGUUACCCGCGACAGGACGGAAAGACCCCGUGGAGCUUUACUGUAGCCUGAUAUUGAAAUUCGGCACAGCUUGUACAGGAUAGGUAGGAGCCUUUGAAACGUGAGCGCUAGCUUACGUGGAGGCGCUGGUGGGAUACUACCCUAGCUGUGUUGGCUUUCUAACCCGCACCACUUAUCGUGGUGGGAGACAGUGUCAGGCGGGCAGUUUGACUGGGGCGGUCGCCUCCUAAAAGGUAACGGAGGCGCUCAAAGGUUCCCUCAGAAUGGUUGGAAAUCAUUCAUAGAGUGUAAAGGCAUAAGGGAGCUUGACUGCGAGACCUACAAGUCGAGCAGGGUCGAAAGACGGACUUAGUGAUCCGGUGGUUCCGCAUGGAAGGGCCAUCGCUCAACGGAUAAAAGCUACCCCGGGGAUAACAGGCUUAUCUCCCCCAAGAGUUCACAUCGACGGGGAGGUUUGGCACCUCGAUGUCGGCUCAUCGCAUCCUGGGGCUGUAGUCGGUCCCAAGGGUUGGGCUGUUCGCCCAUUAAAGCGGUACGCGAGCUGGGUUCAGAACGUCGUGAGACAGUUCGGUCCCUAUCCGUCGUGGGCGUAGGAAAUUUGAGAGGAGCUGUCCUUAGUACGAGAGGACCGGGAUGGACAUACCUCUGGUGUACCAGUUGUCGUGCCAACGGCAUAGCUGGGUAGCUAUGUGUGGACGGGAUAAGUGCUGAAAGCAUCUAAGCAUGAAGCCCCCCUCAAGAUGAGAUUUCCCAACUUCGGUUAUAAGAUCCCUCAAAGAUGAUGAGGUUAAUAGGUUCGAGGUGGAAGCAUGGUGACAUGUGGAGCUGACGAAUACUAAUCGAUCGAAGACUUAAUCAA